Molecule: unclassified non-coding RNA, 272 nt
Filed under: plant metagenome
Description: partial contains small subunit ribosomal RNA, internal transcribed spacer 1, and 5.8S ribosomal RNA
Source: RNAcentral
UUUCCGUAGGUGAACCUGCGGAAGGAUCAUUAAUGAGUUGUCAUGGGGUUCGAUGCUGGCAGCCAGUUUUUGGAUGCAUGUGCUUGCCCUAACAAUCAUCUUCUUCCAAACACCUGUGCACAUUUUUGAGGGAGUCUUGAGUUGGUUGCCGCUCUUGGGUGAUUUUCUCACAUUCCCUUAAAUCAUUAUACUCUAUUAACAAUGUUGAACGUGCUCUGUGCCGCAAGGCCAUUAAUAUAAUACAACUUUUAACAACGGAUCUCUUGGCUCUC